UCUAGAGGGAAAAAGGUAAUACUUCUUAAGGAAACCUUUAUUUAUUGGCGGCCUAUUUCCUUUUUAGAGGAACUCGUCUCAUAAUCGUCACUCCUCGUUAAUUUUUACUUUUUUUUAUCUCUUAUACCGCCGUCUUCAGACUAAAAUUUUUUCUUCAAAAAAAAAACAUUCUAUUAAGUCAGGUAAAGGUGAGGACUAAUAAAAAAGAGAAGAUAAGUUACUUAUAAAGAUUAUUUAUGGAUUUUAUCUUAACUAUUUUUUUGAAAAAGGAUUUAAUAGUAAUUCUUCAAUAGUAUUUUACAAUGAACAGAAAAAAUAGGUGU
Molecule: ribosomal RNA, 323 nt
Filed under: Conothele sp. MYG563
Lineage: Eukaryota; Metazoa; Arthropoda; Arachnida; Araneae; Ctenizidae
Description: partial 12S ribosomal RNA
Source: RNAcentral